AUCACCCCAACAAGAUAAGAACUGGAUUUCAUCACCAGAUUCUUGCCCAAAUUAGGUGAACCAAUUCGCACAUAGCUAUCAUUUUAAUUAAAAUCAAUUAGACGUUGGCCCCUAGGGACAUUCGAGCUCAAUAGGACGAAGAUCACCGAAAGUUGCACCAAUUUCGCUCUGUGGCUCAGUUGAUGUCUAGGCAAGCUUUGUCCCAAGGGAGACAGUUCAUCUGUUCGAGGCAAGUGAUUUUUAAGUGGGACCUUUGCAACGCAUCGUGACCCCCCCACUUACCUGGGAGCUUACCUGGUCAAC
This 303-nucleotide long non-coding RNA is filed under the name Phoenix dactylifera (date palm). RNAcentral describes it as "long non-coding RNA (PDAC_LNC022505)". The record is from RNAcentral. Lineage: Eukaryota; Viridiplantae; Streptophyta; Magnoliopsida; Arecales; Arecaceae.